Molecule: ribosomal RNA, 1500 nt
Filed under: metagenome
Description: bacterial SSU rRNA
Rfam family: Bacterial small subunit ribosomal RNA
Source: RNAcentral
AGAGUUUGAUCAUGGCUCAGAUUGAACGCUGGCGGCAGGCCUAACACAUGCAAGUCGAACGGUAACAGGAAGCAGCUUGCUGCUUCGCUGACGAGUGGCGGACGGGUGAGUAAUGUCUGGGAAGCUGCCUGAUGGAGGGGGAUAACUACUGGAAACGGUAGCUAAUACCGCAUAAUGUCGCAAGACCAAAGAGGGGGACCUUCGGGCCUCUUGCCAUCGGAUGUGCCCAGAUGGGAUUAGCUUGUUGGUGGGGUAACGGCUCACCAAGGCGACGAUCCCUAGCUGGUCUGAGAGGAUGACCAGCCACACUGGAACUGAGACACGGUCCAGACUCCUACGGGAGGCAGCAGUGGGGAAUAUUGCACAAUGGGCGCAAGCCUGAUGCAGCCAUGCCGCGUGUAUGAAGAAGGCCUUCGGGUUGUAAAGUACUUUCAGCGGGGAGGAAGGGAGUAAAGUUAAUACCUUUGCUCAUUGACGUUACCCGCAGAAGAAGCACCGGCUAACUCCGUGCCAGCAGCCGCGGUAAUACGGAGGGUGCAAGCGUUAAUCGGAAUUACUGGGCGUAAAGCGCACGCAGGCGGUUUGUUAAGUCAGAUGUGAAAUCCCCGGGCUCAACCUGGGAACUGCAUCUGAUACUGGCAAGCUUGAGUCUCGUAGAGGGGGGUAGAAUUCCAGGUGUAGCGGUGAAAUGCGUAGAGAUCUGGAGGAAUACCGGUGGCGAAGGCGGCCCCCUGGACGAAGACUGACGCUCAGGUGCGAAAGCGUGGGGAGCAAACAGGAUUAGAUACCCUGGUAGUCCACGCCGUAAACGAUGUCGACUUGGAGGUUGUGCCCUUGAGGCGUGGCUUCCGGAGCUAACGCGUUAAGUCGACCGCCUGGGGAGUACGGCCGCAAGGUUAAAACUCAAAUGAAUUGACGGGGGCCCGCACAAGCGGUGGAGCAUGUGGUUUAAUUCGAUGCAACGCGAAGAACCUUACCUGGUCUUGACAUCCACGGAAGUUUUCAGAGAUGAGAAUGUGCCUUCGGGAACCGUGAGACAGGUGCUGCAUGGCUGUCGUCAGCUCGUGUUGUGAAAUGUUGGGUUAAGUCCCGCAACGAGCGCAACCCUUAUCCUUUGUUGCCAGCGGUCCGGCCGGGAACUCAAAGGAGACUGCCAGUGAUAAACUGGAGGAAGGUGGGGAUGACGUCAAGUCAUCAUGGCCCUUACGACCAGGGCUACACACGUGCUACAGUGGCGCAUACAAAGAGAAGCGACCUCGCGAGAGCAAGCGGACCUCAUAAAGUGCGUCGUAGUCCGGAUUGGAGUCUGCAACUCGACUCCAUGAAGUCGGAAUCGCUAGUAAUCGUGGAUCAGAAUGCCACGGUGAAUACGUUCCCGGGCCUUGUACACACCGCCCGUCACACCAUGGGAGUGGGUUGCAAAAGAAGUAGGUAGCUUAACCUUCGGGAGGGCGCUUACCACUUUGUGAUUCAUGACUGGGGUGAAGUCGUAACAAGGUA